This 371-nucleotide ribosomal RNA is filed under the name uncultured bacterium. RNAcentral describes it as "bacterial SSU rRNA". It matches the Rfam family "Bacterial small subunit ribosomal RNA", at positions 28 to 402 of the family's 1533-position model. The record is from RNAcentral.
GACGAACGCUGGCGGCGUGCUUAACACAUGCAAGUCGAACGGUAAGGCCCUUCGGGUACGACGAGUGGCGAACGGGUGGAGUAACACGUGAACAACCUGCCCUUGACUCUGGGAUAACAGUUGGAAACAGCUGCUAAUACCGGAUACGAGCCUGCAAGACAUCUUGCGGGCUUGAAAGCUCCGGCGGUCAAGGAUGGAUUCGCGGCCUAUCAGCUUGUUGGUGAGGUAACGGCUCACCAAGGCUUCGACGGGUAGCCGGCCUGAGAGGAUGAUCAGCCACACUGGAACUGAGACACGGUCCAGACUCCUACGGGAGGCAGCAGUGGGGAAUAUUGGACAAUGGGCGCAAGCCUGAUCCAGCCAUACCGCGU